This 198-nucleotide ribosomal RNA is filed under the name uncultured bacterium. RNAcentral's name for it is "partial 16S ribosomal RNA". It matches the Rfam family "Bacterial small subunit ribosomal RNA", at positions 328 to 539 of the family's 1533-position model. The record is from RNAcentral.
ACGCUCGACACCUACGGGAGACAGCAGUGGGGAAUAUUGCACAAUGGGGGAAACCCUGAUGCAGCGACGCCGCGUGAGCGAAGAAGUAUUUCGGUAUGUAAAGCUCUAUCAGCAGGGAAGAAACUGACGGUACCUGACUAAGAAGCACCGGCUAAAUACGUGCCAANAGCCGCGGUAAUCUGAGCGGGCUGGCAAGGC